UAGGGGUUAGAAAUCACCUGAGGUGGCACAU
Molecule: non-coding RNA, 31 nt
Filed under: Rattus norvegicus (Norway rat)
Lineage: Eukaryota; Metazoa; Chordata; Mammalia; Rodentia; Muridae
Source: RNAcentral